RNAcentral lists this non-coding RNA (1432 nucleotides) under Drosophila persimilis. RNAcentral describes it as "Eukaryotic large subunit ribosomal RNA". It matches the Rfam family "Eukaryotic large subunit ribosomal RNA", at positions 1353 to 2286 of the family's 3401-position model. The record is from Rfam by way of RNAcentral. Lineage: Eukaryota; Metazoa; Arthropoda; Insecta; Diptera; Drosophilidae.
CGCUUAGAGUUAACGAACGAAUAGAAUUUUUUACGAUCACUGCGAAAGUUACUACUACAUUGUGAAAGGUAAUGAUUAUAACACUGACUAUUAACGCCAAGGAACAGAGAGCGAGCGGAGGAGUAUAGAGCUAAAGGCCGACGUGGAGCCCGACUUCUGGUACUUUUUAUAGAGCCGGGAUUUAUUAUUUUUUAAGAAUGACAAAUACUUGGAGAACCAGGGAGGCUUGGACGAUACAGGUACAGUGAUAUCUGGAACAAAAGUAUUAAGGGCGGAGUAAAUAGAACUAUAAAACGAGUUAACAGUUGCAGAUAGAAGUAGAAGUGUUUGGCGUAAGCCUUCAUGGAGCUGCCAUUGGCACAGAUCUUGGUGGUAGUAGCAAAUAAUCGAAUGAGACCUUGGAGGACUGAAGUGGAGAAGGGUUUCGUGUGAACAGUGGUUGAUCACGAGUUAGUCGGUCCUAAGUUCAAGGCGAAAGCCGAAAAUUUUCAAGUAAAAAAUCAGUGAGUAAUAUUGUCAAAUCUUCUAUGAUUUUUAAAUACUUGAAUAAUUUUGAACGAAAGGGAAUACGGUUCCAAUUCCGUAACCUGUUGAGUAUCCGUUUGUUAUUAAAUAUGGGCCUCGUGUUCAUCCUGGCAACAGGAACGACCAUAAGGAAGCCAUCGAGAGAUAUCGGAAGAGUUUUCUUUUUUCUUUUAUAGCCGUACUACCAUGGAAGUCUUUCGCAGAGAGAUAUGGUAGAUGGGCUAGAAGAGCAUACAUACAUGUAUGACAUGUACAUGACAUUUACAUGAUAUUUUCUCCUCGGACCUUGAAAAUUUAUGGUGGGGACACGCAAACUUCUCAACAGGCCGUACUAAUAUCCGCAGCUGGUCUCCAAGGUGAAGAGUCUCUAGUCGAUAGAAUAAUGUAGGUAAGGGAAGUCGGCAGAUUAGAUCCGUAACUUCGGGAUAAGGAUUGGUUUUGAAGAUUGAGAUAGUCGGGCUUGAUUGGGAAACAAUAACAUUGUUUAUGUGCUCGUUCUGGGUAAAUAGAGUAUCUAUCAUUUAUAGUAGUUACUUGUUCCCCGGAUAGUUUACGUUACGUAGCCAAUUGUGGAACUUUCUUGCUACAAUUUUUUAAGAAUACUCAUUGGGUUAAACCCAGUUAGUUUCUUAUUAAUUAUAACGGAUUAUCAAUUUAACCAAUUCAAUUUCAGAAACUGGGCACGGACUUGGGGGAGUCCCACUGGUCUAAUUAAAAACAAAGCAUUUGUGAUGGCCCCUAGCGGGUGGUUGACCACAUUGUGAUUUCUGCCCAGUGCCUUCUGAAAUGUCAAAGUGAAAGAAAUUCCAAGUAAAGCGCCCGGUCUAACGGGCGGGGAGUAGCCUAUGACUUCUCUUUAAGGAAAGAUUAUGCGAUCUGAAAUAAUAGCCGAAAAAGGGGAAUUUAU